This 209-nucleotide long non-coding RNA is filed under the name Elaeis guineensis (African oil palm). Its description in RNAcentral is "long non-coding RNA (EGUI_LNC022688)". Lineage: Eukaryota; Viridiplantae; Streptophyta; Magnoliopsida; Arecales; Arecaceae. The record is from RNAcentral.
GGAUUAAGAUCCUUGAGACAUUGAGGAGGAUGGAACUUUGUCAAGACAUCGAGGAGGAUGGGAUUUUGCCUAUAAAAAAUCUUUCAAUAGUGAAAAUCCAACCUUUAUGAUAGGAGAUCUCUUGAAGGAGAUUCAAUAUAGUAAUAACAAGCUAAUUAAUUGGUUAGAGAAUACAUACGAUUUAUUUAAUAUAAAAGUCAUAGACUCCA